Molecule: transfer RNA, 92 nt
Filed under: Candidatus Hydrogenedentes bacterium CG07_land_8_20_14_0_80_42_17
Lineage: Bacteria; Pseudomonadati; Candidatus Hydrogenedentota
Description: tRNA-Ser
Rfam family: tRNA
About the family: Transfer RNA (tRNA) molecules are approximately 80 nucleotides in length. Their secondary structure includes four short double-helical elements and three loops (D, anti-codon, and T loops).
Source: RNAcentral
GGAGAGGUCGCAUAGUCCGGUCUAGUGCGCACGCCUGGAGCGCGUGUAGACUUUAAAAGGUCUCGUGGGUUCGAAUCCCACCCUCUCCGCCA